UACGUAGGUGGCGAGCGUUGUCCGGAUUUAUUGGGCGUAAAGCGCCCGCAGGCGGCCUGAUAAGUUUCAGGUGAAAUCUCCCGGCUUAACUGGGAGGGGUCCUGGAAAACUGUCAGGCUUGAGGCAGGGAGAGGGAUGUGGAAUUCCCGGUGUAGUAGUGAAAUGCGUAGAUAUCGGGAGGAACACCAGUGGCGAAGGCGGCAUCCUGGCCCUGUCCUGACGCUCAGGGGCGAAAGCGUGGGGAGCAAACCGG
This 253-nucleotide ribosomal RNA is filed under the name uncultured bacterium. RNAcentral describes it as "partial 16S ribosomal RNA". It matches the Rfam family "Bacterial small subunit ribosomal RNA", at positions 524 to 776 of the family's 1533-position model. The record is from RNAcentral.